This is a long non-coding RNA of Ipomoea triloba (trilobed morning glory), 1549 nucleotides long. RefSeq lists it as uncharacterized. The transcript has 3 exons. The record is from RefSeq and is a predicted model, not a curated record. NCBI's taxonomy places the organism in Eukaryota, Viridiplantae, Streptophyta, Magnoliopsida, Solanales, Convolvulaceae.
AGUUGCUUCUUAACCUUCAUACCCAUGGUCUUGAAUGUAACAGAUCCUGAAUCCAAGUUUGAGCUGUGUCUCGCUGUCGCAUCAACUCCCUGAUUUCUUUAUCCAUCUGAAUGAUUUGAACAGUUCAUAGAGAGGAAACUUGUGAGAUACUUCAAGGGCUCAUGGUGCAGAUAAUCGCAGUUCUAGCAUUCCCUCCUAGCGAAUUCUGCAGUAUACGUGUUAGCUUGGAGUCUCUAUAUGGAAUAUGCCCAUUUCUUCCUUUGCUGAUCAAAAUCCAAAACCAUUGACAACUAAUAUAAGUAUCUCUAGAGGUUACUUGAUGCAGCCAACUUGGAUAAGUAUUACUACGAAGUACUAACCUUAGUUUACGAAUACAUGUUCCUAGGGCCAGCAAACUCCGGUUUAUGUGGCUACCUUCUUUGAUUCGUGUGUUUGCUGUUAAUGUUUGUGAAGAACGCUCACUUCCUGCAAGAUCAACAAAAUCCUGCAUUUUGCAGCAAAAAGAAGAAAAAAGAAAAUGUCACUUCUUUCCUGUUCCUUUUGCAUCAAAAGGAAAGAUUCUUCUGAAGGUUAGGAUUUACUUUCAUACCACUGAAGCUGAUAAAAUGCUAUUGUUCUGAGAACGAAAAGGUUGGUUGGCACAACUUUCAACCGUCUGAAAAAUUCAGUACACUCAAGAAGAUAGUAAGUGCAGCAAGUUCUAACAAAGUGUUUAUACUGCAAAAACUAGAAUAACAUAUGAAGUACUUCAUACCAGCCGCAGAAUCUGGUGAGACCUUGAGCUCAUUUCGUUCAUAGAGGUUUCUCCUAUUCGUCUUUGUGCUGCAAGAACGCAGAGCUAGUUGUGUUGAGCAUAUACUAUAUAAAAUAUAAAUGUAUAGUCUCAUUGUCAGUUUAAACUUACAGUUGAGACAGAACACAUUAUUCGAUUAGCUGAAGUAACGAAUUGAUGAAAUGUUGAAAGAGUAGCUGAGAAUGAAGCUCUCUCUUACCUUCACAGAUGGACAGGAGUUCUAUUAUAUGCCUCCAAUCUCUCACUGUCACCUCUAGCACACGUGAGAACAUAAAAUCCUCACCUCUGGAUCAUCAAGAAGUCUGAGUGGAGUAGUAUCCAAGCUUAGGAGGUCCCUCACAGACUCGUUGUAGAUCUCCAAAGCAGAGAACUUCAGGGUAAAUCGUCUCUCUUCAUGCUAAAAAUUCAAGUUUUUUUAGUGGAACAAAGUGUCUAGGCAAUUCUUGAUAGCUUGCAAAUAUCAUUGAUUUGGAGAAAGUAGAAACUUUUCAGUACCUUAUUGUUUAUAUAGUCAAAGAUAUCAGCCAUUGCGAGUUGAGUAAUCCCGUUCAUGGUGUAUGUCUUUCCACUGCUUGUCUGCCCAUAGGCAAAGAUACUUGCUGGAGAACCAUUUUUUAGGGCAAUUAGGCCUAGUUUCACACACUAAAUCGCAUAAACCCAAAGUGCGAUGUUUGAGAUAUACAUACAGUUAAACCCAGUUAGGACGGUAAGAGCUAUAUUUUUUGCAGCUUCUUCAUAAACUUGCCUUGUGGAGGA